CAACAACAAAACAUACAAUCUUAACAAUGGCCAAACAUGUGUUCACCUUUAAGUAUGUCCCAUGUGUUUGUUACUUUAUUCAAAAACUAAGCAGUUCAUAGUCUCUAGGAGUAGAGCUGUCAAAUGGUCCGUCCAUGGCCCAAUUGGGCAUGACCAUUUGGACCAUUUCAGUUUUGGACAGUAAUGGGUGGUCCAUAUUGGACAAUGGUCCAACAAAUGUCCAAGACCAAUAGAGACCAUGUCCAAAUGGGCAUGCCCAUGGACACCCAAUAAUAUUUAUAAUUAUUUUUUUAAUUAUUAGUUUAAAUUUUAUUUCUAAAAUUUUGAAAUUAUGUUUACUUUCUAAUAUUAUAAAAGUAAUUUUUUUUUGUCGAAACUGUAAAACUAUGUUUUCCUCUCAAAAUCGAAAAAAAUUCAUUUUUUCGCAAAAACCGAGAAAUCUCGUUUUUCCGCCAAAACCGAAUUUUUUUAUUUUUCGCCAAAACCGAGAAAUUACGUUUUCUCGCAAAAACCGAGAAAUUAUGUUUUCCGUCAAAACCGAGAAAUUGGGUUUUCCCGCCAAAACCGAGAAAUUGCGUUUUCCCGCCAAAAUCGAGAAAUUACGUUUUUCCGCCAAAACCGAGAAAUUAUAUUUUUCCGCCAAAACCGAGAAAUUAUGUUUUCCGUCAAAACCGAGAAAUUGGGUUUUCCCGCCAAAACCGAGAAAUUGCGUUUUCCCGCCAAAACCGAGAAAUUGCGUUUUCCCGCCAAAACCGAGAAAUUGUGUUUUCCCGCCAAAACCGAGAAAUUGUAUUUUCCCGUCAAAAUCUGAGAAAUUGUGUUUUCCCGCCAAAACCGAGAAAUUAUGUUUUCCCGCUAAAACCGAAAAAUUGAAUUUUUCCGCUAAAACCGAGAAAUUAUGUUUUCCCGCCAAAAUCUGAGAAAUUGCGUUUUCCUGCCAAAACCGAGAAAUUGUGUUUUUCCGCCAAAACUGAAAAAUUAAAUUUUCCCGCUGUUUUAUGAAAUUCAUUUUUCCGUCAAAAUUGUAAAAUUACGUUUUCCGUCAAAAUCGUUAAUUUUUUAUUUUAACGAUAAAACUGUUUUUUUUUGGGUUAAAUUGUAAAGUUAUGUUUUCUUUUAUUAAACUCAUGAAAUUAUGUUUUAUGAAGCCCAUGGACACCCAUUGUCCAUUUGGUCUUCGUCCAAUUGGACCAUAUAUCAAUUGGUCUUUUGUUCAGUUGGACCAUUUAUUAAUUGGGCACGUCCAUAGCCCACCCAAAAUGAAUUGGACUGGGCUAGCCCAUGGUCAGCCCGCCCAGUUGACACCUAUAUCUAGGAGGAGACGUCUGUGUGUGUGUGUAGUAGUAGUUUUGUUGAAAUGAUGUUGUAGAGAGAAGAAAGGAACCUUUAUAGUUAAGAACAUUUUUCCACCG
Molecule: long non-coding RNA, 1412 nt
Filed under: Brassica napus (rape)
Lineage: Eukaryota; Viridiplantae; Streptophyta; Magnoliopsida; Brassicales; Brassicaceae
Description: long non-coding RNA (BNAP_LNC008218)
Source: RNAcentral